RNAcentral lists this unclassified non-coding RNA (945 nucleotides) under Hevea brasiliensis (rubber tree). Lineage: Eukaryota; Viridiplantae; Streptophyta; Magnoliopsida; Malpighiales; Euphorbiaceae. The record is from RNAcentral.
UUCCAACUUUCACCAGGAAUAGGGCAUUCUGGAAUUGGGGCAUCCUUUCCAAUAUUUAUGGUAAUGUCACUUGGCCGGAUACGGCUUUUCAGCUUUCCCAUCUUUGGAUGCUCUCCCCGGCCUCGAAACAGCCCAGGUGGUUCAACUCUGAAAUUUCCAACCUUCUCUUUGACACCAUCAACUAUAGCCCACAUAUACUUCUCCUCUUGCCGCAAUUUCUCUUCUUUCAAGGCCUUCUUCUCUUCUGUACUCAUUUGUUUUUUCUUCUCCUUCUCCCGCUGAUGCCAUUCAUAUAUUGGGGUGAAGUCACAGUCCUCCAACUUCUGUAUUACAUGGUUCCUCCUCAAUAAUUUUCGCCAAUCAUUCCAAAAGUUCUCAAGAAAUUUUUGUUUUUGCAUGUAGUCUGUAUCUUUCAUUACUGCAAACAUUGUUGCAACCUCCUCUUGUUCAGGAGUCAAAUCAACUGGCUGCCCCUUGUAGAGAAUCUUAAUGCCAUGAGGCUGGUAUGGAGGCGGGAAAAUGACACCAUUAUGAACCAAGGUAGUCCAUUUUUUCUGCCCGUCAGUGGAGCUAGGUUGCACUUUUGUUGACUUACAAUAUUUUGCAUUUUUCAUUUGUUUCUUGUUCUUCUUAUUUGUCUUCUUGAAUGAAGAAGAAGCAACUUUUAAUGCUUUUUGCUUGGCAGAUGUUAACUUAUUCUCUAAGGAUCCUAAAUUCUUUCUCUGACUGAGCGGAACAUUGUCAUCAUCAUUUGCCUUCUGCUCUGGCUUGACAGUUACUUGCUUAACUUUUGUUGUUGUAGAUGCAGCAGAAAGCUUAGGCUUUUUAGCAGAAGACUGAUCUGAUAAAUUAGCCUUAUCUAUAGGUCUCUUAGUUGGUACUUGCGAAAUUUUCUGUUGCUUGUCCUUUACAGUGUAACCAUUCUCUUGAAUUUUCAAAGCCAAA